UACGUAGGGUGCAAGCGUUGUCCGGAAUUAUUGGGCGUAAAGAGCUCGUAGGCGGUCUGUUGCGUCGGCUGUGAAAACCCGGGGCUCAACCCCGGGCCUGCAGCCGAUACGGGCAGACUAGAGUUCGGCAGGGGAGACUGGAAUUCCUGGUGUAGCGGUGAAAUGCGCAGAUAUCGGGAGGAACACCGAUGGCGAAGGCAGCACUCUGGGCCGGCACUGACGCUGAGGAACGAAAGCGUGGGGAGCGAACAGG
This 253-nucleotide ribosomal RNA is filed under the name uncultured bacterium. RNAcentral's name for it is "partial 16S ribosomal RNA". It matches the Rfam family "Bacterial small subunit ribosomal RNA", at positions 524 to 776 of the family's 1533-position model. The record is from RNAcentral.